Non-coding RNA from Podarcis lilfordi (Lilford's wall lizard), 71 nucleotides. The record is from the annotation of a GenBank genome assembly. Lineage: Eukaryota; Metazoa; Chordata; Lepidosauria; Squamata; Lacertidae.
GAUUAGCUUGGUUGGUUAGAUAUUGGUACUGCUAAUGCCAAGGUCACAGGUUUGAUUCCUGUCUGGGUGCA